RNAcentral lists this ribosomal RNA (265 nucleotides) under uncultured bacterium. Its description in RNAcentral is "partial 16S ribosomal RNA". It matches the Rfam family "Bacterial small subunit ribosomal RNA", at positions 793 to 1055 of the family's 1533-position model. The record is from RNAcentral.
GUCCUAGCUGUAAACGAUGGAUGCUUGGUGUAGGGGUAUCGACCCCUCCUGUGCCGAAGCUAACGCGAUAAGCAUCCCGCCUGGGGAGUACGGUCGCAAGGCUGAAACUAAAGGAAUUGACGGGGCCCGCACAAGCGGUGGAGCAUGUGGUUUAAUUCGACGCAACGCGAAGAACCUUACCUGGGGUUUGAACUAGCAGAUGACAACCUCCGAAAAGAAGGUCUCCCUUCCGGGGUGGUCUGCAGAGGUGCUGCAUGGCUGUCGU